GCAAAUUGACCCCGUAACUUCGGGAUAAGGGGUGCCUCCUCAGCGAGACUGAGAGGCCGCAGAGAAUAGAGCCAAGCGACUGUUUAUCAAAAACACAGGUCUGUGCUAAAUCGAAAGAUGACGUAUACGGGCUGACGCCUGCCCAGUGCCGGAAGGUUAAGGGGAUGUGUGCAAGCAUUGAACCGAAGCCCCGGUUAACGGCGGCCGUAACUAUAACGGUCCUAAGGUAGCGAAAUUCCUUGUCGGGUAAGUUCCGACCCGCACGAACGGCGUAAUAACUAGAGCACUGUCUCGACGAUAGACCCGGUGAAAUUGAAAUGGCUGUGAAGAUGCGGCCUACCCGCAGCAGGACAAAAAGACCCCGUGGAGCUUUACUGUAACCUGGCAUUGAGUUUAGGUGUUAUUUGUGUAGGAUAGGUGGGAGACAGAGAAAUCAGGGCGCCAGCCUUGGUGGAGUCGACGGUGAAAUACCACCCUGAUAACAUUUGAACUCUAACGUUUGACCAUGAACUGGGAAACGGACCGUGUCAGGCGGGCAGUUUGACUGGGGCGGUCGCCUCCAAAAGAGUAACGGAGGCGCCCAAAGGUUCCCUCAGACAGAAUGGAAACCUGUCGGAGAGUGUAAAGGCAAAAGGGAGCUUAACUGAAAGACCAACGCGUCGACCAGAUACGAAAGUAGGGCUUAGUGAUCCCACGGUACAGAGUGGAAUGGCCGUGGCUUACCGGACAAAAGCUACCCCGGGGAUAACAGGCUGGUGAAGUCCAAGAGUUCACAUCGACGACUUCGCUCGGCACCUCGAUGUCGGCUCAUCGCAUCCUGGGGCUGGACAAGGUCCCAAGGGUCCGGCUGUUCGCCGGUUAAAGCGGUACGCGAGCUGGGUUCAGACCGUCGUGAGACAGGUCGGUCUCUAUCCGCUGUGGGCGAAAGAGAAUUGAGAAGGGCUGCCCCUAGUACGAGAGGACCGGGGUGGACGAACCUCUGGUGUGUCAGUUGUUCCGCCAGGAGCAUCGCUGAGUAGCCACGUUCGGAAGAGAUAACCGCUGAAAGCAUCUAAGUGGGAAACUCGCUUCGAGAUAAGUUCUCUUGACUGAAAAGUAUAAGAUCGCAAGGAGACUACUUGCUGGAUAGGCCGGAGGUGAAAGGUCAGUAAUGGCUUGAGCAAACCGGUACUAAUGAUCGAAGGCUUUUGCG
Molecule: ribosomal RNA, 1192 nt
Filed under: gut metagenome
Description: bacterial LSU rRNA
Rfam family: Bacterial large subunit ribosomal RNA
Source: RNAcentral